This 497-nucleotide ribosomal RNA is filed under the name uncultured bacterium. Its description in RNAcentral is "partial 16S ribosomal RNA". It matches the Rfam family "Bacterial small subunit ribosomal RNA", at positions 28 to 507 of the family's 1533-position model. The record is from RNAcentral.
GAUGAACGCUGGCGGCGUGCCUAAUACAUGCAAGUCGAGCGAACAGACGAGGAGCUUGCUCCUCUGACGUUAGCGGCGGACGGGUGAGUAACACGUGGAUAACCUACCUAUAAGACUGGGAUAACUUCGGGAAACCGGAGCUAAUACCGGAUAAUAUAUUGAACCGCAUGGUUCAAUAGUGAAAGACGGUUUUGCUGUCACUUAUAGAUGGAUCCGCGCCGCAUUAGCUAGUUGGUAAGGUAACGGCUUACCAAGGCAACGAUGCGUAGCCGACCUGAGAGGGUGAUAGGCCGCACUGGAACUGAGACACGGUCCAGACUCCUACGGGAGGCAGCAGUAGGGAAUCUUCCGCAAUGGGCGAAAGCCUGACGGAGCAACGCCGCGUGAGUGAUGAAGGUCUUCGGAUCGUAAAACUCUGUUAUUAGGGAAGAACAAAUGUGUAAGUAACUAUGCACGUCUUGACGGUACCUAAUCAGAAAGCCACGGCUAACUACGUG